CAUCCUUACAUGUAUAGUUUCAUACCUGUAUAGUCUUUAGAUGUCUCUCAUUUGGUGUGAUUCUUGGGUGUUACAUGCUCACCCCAUCUCCUUUCUUGCCUAAUAGAUUAAUUAAGCUGUUUUGUUGUUUAUUGAUCAGUCACGUUUUAUAUUUUUGUAAGACAAAAGUUGAUUCUCAUCUGAUCUCACUUCCAUUUGGUUCUUCAUAUUGGUAUGACACAGAUGCAGGUGGUAUGAGCUGCGCUACUAGGUUUGUCAGUGUAAAGGUUGGGCUUUUGGGUACUACUCUAUUCCAGAUAUAUAAUUACAUUUCCUACGCUUUAAUCCAGUUGACAAGUAGACAGUCAUAACAAAAACAUUGAGAGUAAGCAAAAGGGCACUAGUGCAGGUAAUUAGUGCACUACACAUGGUUGAUAUUUAAUUUGUUGUUUCCCUGUACAAUGUUAGCUCUUACAGAAUUUGUUAGCAUAUCUUCAGGAAGACAUAUAGAAUAUGGAUCACUCCAUCAUUGAUAAAUUUGUUGAUUGUGGCCUUUGAUCCCUUGUUGUUUCAAACAAAUGAGUUGAACUUGUGAUUGUGUGAAUACACCCCUUCUUCAAAUGAUGGUUUUUGUGGCAAAUUAGUUUGAUUCAGAAAGUGCCAGAAAAAGCAAAGAGAGGGCAGUGGCAAUUUGUGGGUUUGUUGCCUCUAUUUGACCCACCAAGGCAUGACAUUGCCGAGACCAUAAGACGUGCUAUUAUGACUGUUGUCUUCUUCUAGGCGCUGCUCUUACAUCGAAUUUCUUCACGGACAUAUUUGGCGUGAGAUCUAUCAAGAACAACCACCGUGAGCUCAUAGCAGUUGUUUAUCUUCAAGUAUUGUAAGUCAGGCUUUCAUUGCUACACAGUCAAGGAGCUGGACUUACAUUGAAAUGGGUUUGUUUUCCUAAUAUUCUUACUCUUGCAUAGAAACCACACAUUAAUGAUUGUUGAUAUUUUGUUUUAUGGAUUAUUUCUUAGAUAGCCAUGAUCAUAGCUGUGUAUGUGAAUUGGGGCUUUGCAAGGAUUGAAUGGAGUCAGGCAGGUGCCAUUUGGCUCUAUAGCAUCAUUUAAUUUCUACAUACCGUUGGAUAUAUUCAAGUUCAUCAUCCAAUAUGGAUUUACAGACAAGGCAUGGAAAUAUAAUCGAGAUCAGGGCAACAUCUUAAUCUCUGCCAAAUUUGUUGCUCAAUCUGACUGUUUUUCAGUGUUGUGAUGCAGGUUGCUUUCACCUCAAAGAAGGAUUAUGGAAAAGGAGGGAGAGAGAGAGAGAAGCACAAGCUGAAGCUCAACACAGUUUACAUGGUCUGAAUCCUCUUGAAAUGGUCAAAAUCUUGAAUGAAGAAAACAACUAUAGAGAACUGUUUUAACAGGCUAGGAAAUGUGCUGAAGUUGCAAGGUUAAGGGAGCUUCACAGUUUACACACUAAAGGGCCAUAUCAAGUCUGUUGUGAAACUCCAGGGACUUGACAUUGAGACAUUUCAGCAGCACUACACCGUUUGAGUGACUCAAGUUCUGCGCAAAAGAGAGAUUUUGAAGACAAGAUAAAAGCAGCACUUAUUCUUUGUACAUUGUCAUUAUUAUUUUUCACCUCAUGAAUCAUGAUGACAAUGAACUGUGAUCUUUUGAUUGCUUUUAGAAUAUGUCUUCAAUAUUUUGUUAUAUCCUUCUUCAAUACUUUCCCUGGAGAGAGAGAUAAGACUUUAGUUUUUUUUGUCAAUUAUAAGACUUUAGUUACUGCAAAUAAAUAAAUACCAAAUCUCAGUUUUCUUGA
Glycine soja is the source of this 1791-nucleotide long non-coding RNA. RefSeq lists it as uncharacterized. The record is from RefSeq and is a predicted model, not a curated record. The transcript has 3 exons. NCBI's taxonomy places the organism in Eukaryota, Viridiplantae, Streptophyta, Magnoliopsida, Fabales, Fabaceae.